This 1867-nucleotide ribosomal RNA is filed under the name Lacticaseibacillus paracasei. RNAcentral describes it as "Lactobacillus paracasei partial 23S ribosomal RNA". It matches the Rfam family "Bacterial large subunit ribosomal RNA", at positions 1052 to 2925 of the family's 2925-position model. The record is from RNAcentral. Lineage: Bacteria; Bacillati; Bacillota; Bacilli; Lactobacillales; Lactobacillaceae.
AUUUAUGCUAAGUGGAAAAGGAUGUGGCGUUGCACAGACAACUAGGAUGUUGGCUCAGAAGCAGCCACCAUUUAAAGAGUGCGUAAUAGCUCACUAGUCGAGUGGCACUGCGCCGAAAAUAUACCGGGGCUAAGCAUAAUACCGAAACUGUGGGUGCACCCGUAAGGGUGCGCGGUAGGAGAGCGUUCUAAGGGCGUUGAAGGUCGAUCGUGAGGACGGCUGGAGCGCUUAGAAGUGAGAAUGCCGGCAUGAGUAGCGAAAGAUCAGUGAGAAUCUGAUCCACCGUAUGACUAAGGUUUCCUGGGGAAGGCUCGUCCUCCCAGGGUUAGUCGGGAUCUAAGGCGAGGCCGAGAGGCGUAGUCGAUGACAAGCAGGUUGAGAUUCCUGCACUAGUUUAUUUUGUUUAAGCGAUGGAGGGACGCAGGAGGCUAAGGAAAGCGCACGGCUGGAAAUGUGCGCCCAAGCAGCAAGUCUGACAGCGAGUGAAAUGCUUGCAGUCUUAAGGACAAGCUGUGAUGGGGAGCGAAAUUAUAGUAGCGAAGUUCCUGAUGUCACACUGCCAAGAAAAGCUUCUAGUGAGAAAUAAACUACCCGUACCGCAAACCGACACAGGUAGUCGAGGAGAGUAUCCUCAGGUGAGCGAGCGAACUCUCGUUAAGGAACUCGGCAAAAUGACCCCGUAACUUCGGAAGAAGGGGUGCUGACCGCAAGGUCAGCCGCAGUGAAUAGGCCCAAACAACUGUUUAUCAAAAACACAGGUCUCUGCUAAAUCGUAAGAUGAUGUAUAGGGGCUGACGCCUGCCCGGUGCUGGAAGGUUAAGAGGAUGAGUUAGCGCAAGCGAAGCCCAGAAUUGAAGCCCCAGUAAACGGCGGCCGUAACUAUAACGGUCCUAAGGUAGCGAAAUUCCUUGUCGGGUAAGUUCCGACCCGCACGAAAGGCGUAAUGAUUUGGGCACUGUCUCAACGAGAGACUCGGUGAAAUUAUAGUACCCGUGAAGAUGCGGGUUACCCGCGACAGGACGGAAAGACCCCAUGGAGCUUUACUGUAGCUUGAUAUUGAGUGUUUGUACCGCUUGUACAGGAUAGGUAGGAGCCGUAGAGAUCGGAACGCUAGUUUCGAUGGAGGCGUUGGUGGGAUACUACCCUAGCUGUAUGAACACUCUAACCCGCGCCACUAAUCGUGGCGGGAGACAGUGUCAGGUAGGCAGUUUGACUGGGGCGGUCGCCUCCUAAAAUGUAACGGAGGCGCCCAAAGGUUCCCUCAGAAUGGUUGGAAAUCAUUCGCAGAGUGUAAAGGUAUAAGGGAGCUUGACUGCGAGACUGACAAGUCGAGCAGGGACGAAAGUCGGGCUUAGUGAUCCGGUGGUUCCGUAUGGAAGGGCCAUCGCUCAACGGAUAAAAGCUACCCUGGGGAUAACAGGCUUAUCUCCCCCAAGAGUCCACAUCGACGGGGAGGUUUGGCACCUCGAUGUCGGCUCAUCGCAUCCUGGGGCUGUAGUCGGUCCCAAGGGUUGGGCUGUUCGCCCAUUAAAGCGGUACGCGAGCUGGGUUCAGAACGUCGUGAGACAGUUCGGUCCCUAUCCGUCGCGGGCGCAGGAAAUUUGAGAGGAGCUGUCCUUAGUACGAGAGGACCGGGAUGGACGUUCCGCUGGUGUACCAGUUGUGCCGCCAGGCGCAUCGCUGGGUAGCUAUGAACGGCAGGGAUAAACGCUGAAAGCAUCUAAGUGUGAAGCCCCCCUCGAGAUGAGAUUUCCCAUUCCUAUAUGGAAGUAAGACCCCUGAGAGAUGAUCAGGUAGAUAGGCUGGAAGUGGAAGUGCAGCGAUGCAUGGAGCGGACCAGUACUAAUCGGUCGAGGACUUAACCAAG